This is a transfer RNA of Camelus ferus (Wild Bactrian camel), 72 nucleotides long. It matches the Rfam family "tRNA". Rfam says of the family: Transfer RNA (tRNA) molecules are approximately 80 nucleotides in length. Their secondary structure includes four short double-helical elements and three loops (D, anti-codon, and T loops). The record is from Rfam. Lineage: Eukaryota; Metazoa; Chordata; Mammalia; Artiodactyla; Camelidae.
GAGUGUAUAGGUCAGAGGUAGAGCUCAUGCUUAGCAUGCAUGAAGUCCUGGGUUCAAUCCCCAGUACCUCCA